AUUGAACGCUGGCGGCAUGCUUUACACAUGCAAGUCGAACGGCAGCACAGGGAGCUUGCUCCUGGGUGGCGAGUGGCGAACGGGUGAGUAAUGUAUCGGAACGUGCCUGGUAGUGGGGGAUAACUACUCGAAAGAGUGGCUAAUACCGCAUGAGAUCUUUGGAUGAAAGCGGGGGACAUUCGGGCCUCGUGCUACUGGAGCGGCCGAUAUCAGAUUAGGUUGUUGGUGGGGUAAAGGCCUACCAAGCCUGCGAUCUGUAGCUGGUCUGAGAGGACGACCAGCCACACUGGGACUGAGACACGGCCCAGACUCCUACGGGAGGCAGCAGUGGGGAAUUUUGGACAAUGGGCGCAAGCCUGAUCCAGCAAUGCCGCGUGCAGGACGAAGGCCUUCGGGUUGUAAACUGCUUUUGUACAGAACGAAAAGUCUCUGGCUAAUAUCUAGAGAUCAUGACGGUACUGUAAGAAUAAGCACCGGCUAACUACGUG
This 488-nucleotide ribosomal RNA is filed under the name uncultured bacterium. RNAcentral describes it as "partial 16S ribosomal RNA". It matches the Rfam family "Bacterial small subunit ribosomal RNA", at positions 30 to 507 of the family's 1533-position model. The record is from RNAcentral.